This 781-nucleotide ribosomal RNA is filed under the name uncultured bacterium. RNAcentral describes it as "bacterial SSU rRNA". It matches the Rfam family "Bacterial small subunit ribosomal RNA", at positions 8 to 796 of the family's 1533-position model. The record is from RNAcentral.
AGAGUUUGAUCAUGGCUCAGGACGAACGCUGGCGGCGCGCCUAACACAUGCAAGUCGAACGGAGUUGUGUUGAAAGCUUGCUGGAUAUACAACUUAGUGGCGGACGGGUGAGUAACACGUGAGUAACCUGCCUUUCAGAGUGGAAUAACGUUUGGAAACGAACGCUAAUACCGCAUAACAUGAGAGAACGGCAUCGUUCUUUCAUCAAAGAUUUUAUCGCUGAGAGAUGGGCUCGCGGCCGAUUAGGUAGUUGGUGAGAUAACAGCCCACCAAGCCGACGAUCGGUAGCCGGACUGAGAGGUUGAACGGCCACAUUGGGACUGAGACACGGCCCAGACUCCUACGGGAGGCAGCAGUGGGGGAUAUUGCACAAUGGAGGAAACUCUGAUGCAGCGACGCCGCGUGAGGGAAGACGGUCUUCGGAUUGUAAACCUCUGUCUUUAGGGACGAAAAAAUGACGGUACCUAAGGAGGAAGCCACGGCUAACUACGUGCCAGCAGCCGCGGUAAUACGUAGGUGGCAAGCGUUGUCCGGAAUUACUGGGUGUAAAGGGAGCGUAGGCGGGGAGACAAGUUGAAUGUUUAAACUAUCGGCUCAACUGAUAGUCGCGUUCAAAACUAUCACUCUUGAGUGCAGUAGAGGUAGGCGGAAUUCCUAGUGUAGCGGUGAAAUGCGUAGAUAUUAGGAGGAACACCAGUGGCGAAGGCGGCCUACUGGGCUGUAACUGACGCUGAGGCUCGAAAGCGUGGGUAGCAAACAGGAUUAGAUACCCUGGUAGUCC